RNAcentral lists this long non-coding RNA (1034 nucleotides) under Numida meleagris (helmeted guineafowl). RNAcentral describes it as "lncRNA (ENSNMEG00000010597.1)". The record is from RNAcentral. Lineage: Eukaryota; Metazoa; Chordata; Aves; Galliformes; Numididae.
GUUAAGUGCCUGUGAGGCUGUUUAUAAAGCUUCUGCAAAAUUAAGUAUAUGAUGGUUUGUGAAGCUGUUCUUGGUGUUUAAGUGAAAAAUACUGUAAACUAGCGUUCUGGAUUAUAUUCAGAAUAGCUGAUGACUAAACGCACGGUGUUGCAGUUGCCACUGCGAAAAAAAAAAAUGAUACCUGAGAGCCCACAAUAGUCAAAAAAGUUCUCAGGCACGGAGCACUUGACCUUAACCGAUGUCCUUCGUUGCUUAUUCAGCGAAAGGCUCAAAGUCCGUCUCUAGUGUCAGUCUGCGGACCACUAGAUGGCGCUCCACUCCACAGACAACGGCAGCCUCUCGCUCCCGUCCUGACUCCCAAUUCAGAAGAAAUUUUGUACAUGGAUUUAGUUGAAUGACGAUUUUCAACGUCUUUCAUGAAGUUUAAAGUUAUAAACUGUUGGUUUAGUUCUGAUUAAUAAUGUUGUAGACAUGAGUAACUACGUAUCAUUGAGAUGCUGUUUUUCAUUAAACGCCAUUCUUAACUUUCUUACAGGUAGUGACAUCCCAGCUGAUCCAGAAUUAAAAAGUUUUCCAGGUGGCUCUGACCUUCUGUUUAUGUAUGGCUUUCUUCCUGAUGUUACAGAAGUGAAUCAGCGAUAUAUGUGGCAAAAACCUGAGGAAAUUGCAUCGCACCAUGUUUCUCAUUCAUUUAUCUCCAGCUGCCCCUCUGGUGAUGAGCACUCCCAAUACUGAGCAGCACCAGGGCUCUCCUUUCAGCCUCUCAAAGCUGGAGAAGCUGCAGCACGGUGUGUGUGGUGUGUGCGGGGGAUUUUCAUGCUCCCUCCUCCUGCCUGCAGCCACAUUCCAACAGUGCCAUGUUAGCACAUGACCUGAUCCGGUGGUGAAGACCGACUGGAGAAAGUGAAGGCUGGUAGGCUCAGCCCUUCCUCUUGACUGCCUGCAGCAGAGUUGCAUCUGUCCCGAGGAAAACAAUGUCUUUUAAAAGAAAAAAUAUAAAUAAAAAAACCUACAGGCAGUUGAAAUUAUCUUCU